Molecule: non-coding RNA, 23 nt
Filed under: Arabidopsis thaliana (thale cress)
Lineage: Eukaryota; Viridiplantae; Streptophyta; Magnoliopsida; Brassicales; Brassicaceae
Source: RNAcentral
CAUAGUAGGUUGCCUUUAAGCCA